UACGUAGGGUGCGAGCGUUAAUCGGAAUUACUGGGCGUAAAGCGUGCGCAGGCGGUGCUGUAAGACCGAUGUGAAAUCCCCGGGCUUAACCUGGGAACUGCAUUGGUGACUGCAGCGCUGGAGUAUGGCAGAGGGGGGUGGAAUUCCACAUGUAGCAGUGAAAUGCGUAGAGAUGUGGAGGAACACCGAUGGCGAAGGCAGCCCCCUGGGCCAAUACUGACGCUCAUGCACGAAAGCGUGGGGAGCAAACAGG
RNAcentral lists this ribosomal RNA (253 nucleotides) under uncultured bacterium. RNAcentral's name for it is "partial 16S ribosomal RNA". It matches the Rfam family "Bacterial small subunit ribosomal RNA", at positions 524 to 776 of the family's 1533-position model. The record is from RNAcentral.